Molecule: transfer RNA, 74 nt
Filed under: bacterium
Lineage: Bacteria
Also listed under: 1 other name
Description: tRNA-Trp
Rfam family: tRNA
About the family: Transfer RNA (tRNA) molecules are approximately 80 nucleotides in length. Their secondary structure includes four short double-helical elements and three loops (D, anti-codon, and T loops).
Source: RNAcentral
AGGCCUGUAGCUCUAACUGGCAGAGCACCGGACUCCAAAUUCGGGUGUUGGGGGUUCGAAUCCCUCCAGGCCUG